Molecule: ribosomal RNA, 253 nt
Filed under: uncultured bacterium
Lineage: Bacteria
Description: partial 16S ribosomal RNA
Rfam family: Bacterial small subunit ribosomal RNA
Source: RNAcentral
UACGUAGGGCGCAAGCGUUGUCCGGAAUUAUUGGGCGUAAAGAGCUCGUAGGCGGUUUGUCGCGUCUGCUGUGAAAACUCGGGGCUUAACCCCGGGCCUGCAGUGGGUACGGGCAGACUAGAGUGUGGUAGGGGAGACUGGAAUUCCUGGUGUAGCGGUGAAAUGCGCAGAUAUCAGGAGGAACACCGAUGGCGAAGGCAGGUCUCUGGGCCACUACUGACGCUGAGAAGCGAAAGCAUGGGGAGCGAACAGG